GUCUUAAUAGUAUAAAUAUUACCCUGGUCUUGUAAACCAGAAAUGAAGAUAUAAUCUUCUUAAGACA
This 67-nucleotide transfer RNA is filed under the name Hylomyscus walterverheyeni. Its description in RNAcentral is "tRNA-Thr". Lineage: Eukaryota; Metazoa; Chordata; Mammalia; Rodentia; Muridae. The record is from RNAcentral.